Molecule: long non-coding RNA, 1614 nt
Organism: Galeopterus variegatus (Sunda flying lemur)
Lineage: Eukaryota; Metazoa; Chordata; Mammalia; Dermoptera; Cynocephalidae
Exons: 2
Source: RefSeq, a predicted model, not a curated record
CCACUACUCUUUUGGGAGGUACCAGGUCCUAGGUUAGGGCCACAGGUGUUCCUGACAUUUGCAAAAGGUGUUCCAGUUCUUCAGUUUUCAAACUUGAACAUCUGAAAGGUGGAAAAGCUGAAUUGGGAAAAUAGAUUUCUAAAACGAGGGCUUAUUCCUGAAUACUCCAAAAAAUUAGUUUGCACAUGAGUUAGCUUGAGAACCUCAAUUGUGGGUAGCAGGCAGGUCUGGGGACGAGAAAGAGGCCCACAACCCAGGCACCUGGUACCUUCCCAGUAGUCCCAGUACGUCGCAAUCAGCACCCUGGGCGUGUGCCAGGAGCCCAGCCCCACUGUGAAGUCUGCCCUGCAUGCUGGCCAUGGCCUGGCCCACCUCCUGCUCCACGUGGUGGCCGAUGCCUCCAGAAUCAGCGGGAAGGAGUCGGCCCUUCCUGGACUUCCCUGCCACCUCCAGCAGGAGCAGCUCAGCUUGUAGGGGCUCCGCUUUUGCAAACCCAAAGGCCAUGCCUUUGGAAGCCAAACACCCAGCAUGUGGCUGGCACGUCUGGUUCUGUGGACAAAGCCAACUGUGGAAUGGCUUCUCAGUGUCUGAACCUUUUUACACCAAAGGGACAAACUGUCGCAUCUACCCCUUGUUCUAACUCUGCUUCUGCAUUUGCCCUAUCCGUUUUUAACCUUUUUGUCGCCAGGGAACUUCUCGUCUGAUUAUUAUGUCUUCUGAUGAUUUGCCGUAUUAUUUUACUUACAGGUGAUUUUAUUUUCUUAAGGACAGGAAAAAAAGAAAAGGAAAGGAGUGACUGAGGCAUUAGUCAUAGAGAUAAGACAUCACCAGGGACUCUUGAAAGCCCCAAGAGCUAGUUAAAUUGCUUCUCAAAGGAAAAUCUCAGUCUGGACAGAGUAAGAUUCCUGGGCCCUCCCGGGAAUUUUGCACUUUGGGGUGCAGGGGCCCUGGGCAGGGUUGGCGGCCAUGCUUCGGGAGAGCUAAAGAAGGAAUGAGAACAUCAGCUCAGGUGUUCAUCUUGCAGCACUGCAGCCUGCCACACUCCUUCCCAGGGUGCGUGGCCCUGUCGGAGUGGUACAAGACGCUGUCCAGAUGGUGACAGAAACACUGCAACUUCGCAGCAGCAUCUUUGCUUUGAAAGAUGGUGCGGCGUGUUUCAGAGAACAUUUAUCUUAGUCCCACAUUCAGGCAAGAAGACAAAGAUAACAUUCUGUCCAGAAUAAAUUUUGGAACAAUUUCUAAAUUGGCUUCAGUACACAUAAUGUAAUUGCCCUUCUUUCGGCUCUCCCAACAGUAAGCAUGUUUUCCAAAAGCUGACCACAUCGAACCCAGGAAUGUCCCUGUAUCUACUAUUACCAGGCUUGCAGUUGGUUAAAUUUUGUCAUAAAAACAUGCUUGUCCAAAAGAAGGGAAAUGUGCAUCUAGUCCGUGCAUGUAAUAAACCCUGCAAGAAGUUUAACCCACGUAGGUUUGCGGCACUGCAAAAUUGUUCAUGGGUCUAUGUAGCAAAUGAUUCUCUGCCUUGACAAUCAUGUAUACAUAUCAAGAUUUGUAUCAUAAUGAUAAUGGGAUUGAUGACUUGUUUUCUCCAAUAAAGACAAUUAAUCACCUUCA